UUGACACCCUCAUAACUCUCUCUCUCAUUCUCUUUAGCCGAUAACAACCCACCGGAGCGAACCAAGCUUGCCGAAGACAACCGGAGAUGAAGCUCGCAACAUCGGAGACGUCGCCGACAACCCCACAAACCUGUUUCGACACCUUUCACACACUCCCGGACUACCACUUUGUGUCGACCUAACCCACUGCCGCCGCCGGAGAUACCCACCGUCGCCGGAGAAGAAAGAAGCUGCCGAAGUUUCACGUUAGAACUCGACACGAGUCGCCACUGUUUCGGUAUAGAAUUCUUAUCUUUUGUCUUUCGUUCAAGUUACCAAUUGAUACCCAUCAUAUUCUAAUUUUCAUACUAACAGUUUACAUAUGGAGAAGAUGAGUAGUACUGUUUCUAAUUCAUAUUUAUGUUAUGGCAUUAAAAAGAACAGUACAUCAAGCAAGUUGACUGACAACAUGUUUUAGUCAAAGCAAUUUCAUGGCUUGUUUAUUGUUUUUUUUCAAUAUAUCUAUUUAUAAGAAAAUUUUGUGGUCUUUAUGUUAAAACUCAUUUUUUCCUUAUUAAUAAAAUCGUAAAUUAUCAACGAUUUCUUUUUUAUUUCUAAUACCUUUUCUUUUUAGCAGAACCUCUCAUUAAUGACAUGAAUAAGUUGUCAAUUAUUAUCCUUUUUAUAACAAUAAAUUUUAUUAAUGAGAUAAGAUAUAAUAUACGAAUUAUUAUUAAGCAAUAAAUAUUAGAAUCUUAUUUAACCUAUAAAUAAUAACGAGAUCGUUAUGUGAUAUUUUCAUAUCUAGGAUAAUCUUUCCCACUCGUUCGGUCCUUAAUUCUUUUCCUUGCACGUUAUUUCCAAGAAUUCGCAACGCAAUCUAAGGAGUACGCAUCGCCCUUGAGUGAGUCUUGGGGUGUGUGCGUUGGAAACUUGGGUUUGACAUAUAGUGGCACUGUUUCAGCAUAUUAGUAACUUGUAUUAUGUUGUUGAUUGUUCAAGAUUCAAGAAAACAAGUUAGGAUGGCUUUAGAAACCCAUUUUAGUAAUUAAUUAUUGUUGAAAUUAUGUUUGAUAUUUGAGACUUGUAAUACUCUUCUAGUUUCAAUAAAAUGAUUUAAAUUCAUAUUGUC
This 1111-nucleotide long non-coding RNA is filed under the name Helianthus annuus (common sunflower). Its description in RNAcentral is "hypothetical non coding rna". The record is from RNAcentral. Lineage: Eukaryota; Viridiplantae; Streptophyta; Magnoliopsida; Asterales; Asteraceae.